This 250-nucleotide ribosomal RNA is filed under the name uncultured bacterium. RNAcentral's name for it is "partial 16S ribosomal RNA". It matches the Rfam family "Bacterial small subunit ribosomal RNA", at positions 524 to 773 of the family's 1533-position model. The record is from RNAcentral.
UACGUAGGGUGCAAGCGUUAUCCGGAAUCAUUGGGCGUAAAGCGUUCGUAGGUGGUCAGGCAAGUCUAUGGUUAAAUCCGGUCGCUCAACGAUCGAACCGCUGUAGAAACUAUCUGACUGGAGGGUGGCAAAGGCAACUGGAAUUCCACAUGUAGGGGUAAAAUCCGUUGAUAUGUGGAGGAACACCAAAAGCGAAGGCAGGUUGCUGGGCCAUUCCUGACACUGAGGAACGAAAGCGUGGGGAGCAAAC